RNAcentral lists this long non-coding RNA (1747 nucleotides) under Homo sapiens (human). RNAcentral describes it as "HSALNT0087800". The record is from RNAcentral. Lineage: Eukaryota; Metazoa; Chordata; Mammalia; Primates; Hominidae.
AGGAGCACUGAGCAAGAUGGCCACCUCCUGGUGGUAAGUCUCGCUCCUGGAGUUCCCAUCUUGACCCUACAGCGGGACAUUUUGCCGCCACCUCUUUGUGUGUUGGGAAGAUGACGUCCUUUCUGCUCGUCCUGCUUCUCUGAUUGGGACAGUCUGGUUUGAAAGGGAGGAGGAGAAAUAAGAGAAAGCUCCGUGGUAAUAUACAAGACGAAAGGAAAAGAAAGACAAGUAAAAGGAAUGAUCUGCAACCACCUGGAUAUUGGAGCACAAUUGUGAGAACAACUGGAUCUGUGUCUCUGGAGAUCCCUUUGCUCAGCCAUCAGAUCAAGCAGGCAUCCAUGGUUCAGAAUGCAGGUGAUGACCUGGGCAAGAGCUCACCAGUAAGGAGCAAAGGGGCCCGCCUGCCACUCUUAAGCAGAGCGCCUGCUGAAUCAGGAUUUCCAAGGCUCCGGCUGAGUGCCUGGCUGGGGGCUGUGUGUGCAGAUGCCACAAGAUGGACAAGACUGAGGACGCAGAUGAGGAAACUGAAGCAACUGUUCAAGAAGAGGAUAUAAAAAGGGACAGGCAUUGAUGAUGAUAUCAGAGCUUCUUCCUGGGGAAUCUCAGCCUCACAUGAUGGAGUAUGACUAAAGGAAAAAAAUAAGGCUCUUCACAUACUUUCUUGGCAGUCUGUGAGGGUCAGGGUUGAUUUUGUGUCCCUAAAAUGUCACAUGAAGUUCAUAGGCACUUCCAAAGGGGCAGUCUAGCAAGUUAAAGAGUAGAUGUGGGGCUGUGUGGAGUCCAUUGUUUGGGUAAUCUUUUUCAAACAGUAGGAAUAUACCAGCUUGUAAAGAUUUGCCCACUUAGCUUCAAGUCUCUCUGAACACAUUUCCCCCCGCUCUAUGAAUAGAUGAAGACAUACAAAUGGAACUCUUGAUAUUCUUAAGUGAAAAACAUGAUAUGGAAUAGCAGAUAAAUACAAACAAUUUCUUAUCCAGCAAAGAGCUCCAGAAAUAUUUUGACUUCAUUUAAAACAGUUAUAUAAAUAUUUGCUGGUGGAAUUUUUUUCUAAACCAAAUACCCUGAAGGAUUUUAGUUGUCUAUCUACAACUUUUUGCUUGUGGAAAAUGUUGACUUCCUGGUUACUUUGACUUGUGUUCACCUGAAAUUUUGCUUUUGCAGUAGUUUUUCUUAUGAUUUAGUGGCAUUGCCUGUCCAGUGACAGGAAGUGGUGUUCUUAUUGGGACUAAUAUGUGUUAUGGCCCUAGAACCAGCAGAAGCCACUCCUGCUUUUUUCCACACUCUUCUUUCUAUAGAAGAGAAGGGAAUGAGGAUCCCACAUGGCAUUCACUGCCUUGAGCAUACUGAGAUUUCUUUGCAAAAGGAGAAACAGCACCAGCAACUAAGCAUUUUAUCCCAUUUUAUUUUACUUCUUCUAUGAUUCUUUGCCACUUAGCAAUGCCAAUUAAUUGAUUUGGGACUGGAAAUACAUUUCUUAUACAAUCUUCAAGUUUUCUUUCAUAAGAACAUAACUUUCAUCUGAUAUUGUUCCCCACUUCUCUCUUUUCAAAUGUAAUAUUUGGGCCAGUCCUUGAAAGUGAACUGAGUUGAGUUCUCAUGGCCCAUAAAAGAACAUAUUCAAAAUGUAUCAUUUUCUUUAUGUCACAGAUAAAAGAUCAUUAAUUGUAUAUAAAAUUUCCAUAUAAUUUUUAAAAUUUUUAUUUUGCAAUAAUUUAUUUUAGAUUUACAUUAAAGUUGCAAGGAAGGU